AAAUCAUUUUGCAUCUUUCGAUUCUAGCUAGAUGGAAAAUAAAGGCAAGACCUUGAGUUCCAAAAUUUCCUUGUUUCCAUCAAUGAUUAUCCAUUUCCAGGCUUAACAAAUGACACAUCCAGGAUAAGUAAAAUGUCAUUUUUAUAAAUGAUCAAUUAAAUGCAGAGGGUUGAUUGUAAUGCAGUUUCAUCUGCUCUUGGUCGCUUUGUUGAUGCUGGACUAGAUUCAUCAUCUUUUGGCUCAAGAUUCUUGUCAGUUCUGUUUUCUAGAGCCUUGUGCUUUCUGCUUACACUCUGGGAGCUUUCUUCCAGUGUAACACAACCAUCGCUUCUACCAACCACAAUUUUGGCAUGUUCCGGCUCUGAGACU
This 369-nucleotide unclassified non-coding RNA is filed under the name Hevea brasiliensis (rubber tree). The record is from RNAcentral. Lineage: Eukaryota; Viridiplantae; Streptophyta; Magnoliopsida; Malpighiales; Euphorbiaceae.